Molecule: ribosomal RNA, 353 nt
Filed under: Salmonella enterica
Lineage: Bacteria; Pseudomonadati; Pseudomonadota; Gammaproteobacteria; Enterobacterales; Enterobacteriaceae
Description: bacterial SSU rRNA
Source: RNAcentral
AAAUUGAAGAGUUUGAUCAUGGCUCAGAUUGAACGCUGGCGGCAGGCCUAACACAUGCAAGUCGAACGGUAACAGGAAGCAGCUUGCUGCUUYGCUGACGAGUGGCGGACGGGUGAGUAAUGUCUGGGAAACUGCCUGAUGGAGGGGGAUAACUACUGGAAACGGUGGCUAAUACCGCAUAACGUCGCAAGACCAAAGAGGGGGACCUUCGGGCCUCUUGCCAUCAGAUGUGCCCAGAUGGGAUUAGCUUGUUGGUGAGGUAACGGCUCACCAAGGCGACGAUCCCUAGCUGGUCUGAGAGGAUGACCAGCCACACUGGAACUGAGACACGGUCCAGACUCCGUCCAGACUCC